UUUACAUUAAAAAAAGUGUCAGACGAUUUAACUUUUCUCGUGUUUUUAUCCAGUUUUCAAUUGAAUUGAUUAUUAAUGAUCUUGAAUAAUUUUGGAAGACAAAUUAACAUCGAAAUGUUCUUUUUUUGCUCUUCUCGAUCAACUCGUCUUCAUCUUAGCUUACAUAUGGUACAAAAGAAAGGGAAACAGUUUGCCAAGGACCGAAUCAAGGAGUGUCACCAUAGCCUCACCUUAAUACAAGCUUAAGAUAAUUGUCUUGACAAUUGUCCUCUUCUCUCUCUCUCUUCCUUUCUUUCAACCUUUCUUUGAAUCAUUAAUUUUUAUCGAACCUUCCUUGUACUUUUCACUAACAUCAUCAUCUUACCUCUGUUGUUAUCAUGCAAAUAAGUAAAUAAUACUUGAGAUGGUAACAAAGCUUGGAAAGAUGGUUGAAGCCCGGUAAGAAAGAGGUUGAUCAAUUGCAUUUUACCUAACACUUUGUAAUCUCAUCUUAUAUGUAAGGACAACGACAUCUUAUUAUUUUCUUAUCAUUCUUUUUUUCUUCUCCAAGAUGAUUUACUGAUCCGUUUCAAGGACAGGUCAAAACGUUGAGGUUGAUCUUUACAGUAGCUGGGAAUAUUGAGUUUUAUAUCAUACAUCAUAUUUAUCAUUAUCAAGACCACAUACAGUUAUCAUAGAUGAAAGACUUAAUGUUACGUAUUUGCUGGAAAUACCUUUUUUGCCCAACUCUUUGUCUUUCUCGGAUUACUUGAAGUUGUUGCUGCCAUUUCACACAAGAGAUCACUCAUUUUAUUAUCUUGGCCUUUUUUUACUCCGUAUCGCUGGCGGUCGUUGGAAUCUUCAUUCUAACCAUCCACUCUUCUUCCUCCUCCUACUCCAUCCCAUCAUCAUCAUCAUCAACUUGCCCUUCAAUUUUUUGCUGUUUGACUUGUGUCAAAAAUGAAUGAACUGUCAAAUUAAACGUCAAUAACAUUUAUCAUCACAAAAACAAGCAAACGCCAAUAUUUUGAAUAAUUUGUUUUGCUUUUUGUUUUUGUUUCUAGACUGAUAAGUUCAUCAAAAAACCGGAAACACAAAAGACGAAUAAUUUUACUGUUGAUCUUUAAUUUUCAACUCUCACCAUUAGCAUUGUAAACCAACAACCAGACAAUUUGAUAGAAAUUCAAAUUGCCAGCUUGAAUGGUUAUUAAUAGAUUUCAGUGACUACUUUUUCUCAGAUUUUUCAACCAAUUUUGAAACAUUUAAUUGUGCGCAAGUUGAUGGUGAUGAUAACGCUAACUAAAUGGUAAUUACAGGUUGUUAAGUUCUGUAAACCCAGUUUCCAGGUUUGAACAUAAACUCGUUUCGAGAAGACAUUUGUCAAUGAAAUUGAUUAACCUGAUCAAUGAAGUGUAAUCUGUUUCUCUCUCUGUCAAUCAAAUAAGUUUGGAAAGGGAUAGUGAUAAAAGAUAAUAUAUCUUUGGUUAUACAGAGUUACAAAUAACAUCAUCAUUCACAAUGACAGGAGCAACAACAAAAAGUACCAUGAAUGAUUCGGAAUGAAUACAAUAACUAAUAGCAAGCAAAAAAGUGUCGUGAGUAAAACCAGAUAAUCACAGUGAUUCGUAACUUACAUUUCAACUUUCCUUUCAUCUUGAUCAUCUUUACUCAACUUGUUCUUGCUGUUUAUUAACUUAAUUAGAGAGAAUUAAAAUUGUCACUUUGUCCUGGAAAGUAAGCAAAAGUGGGAAACAUUUUAUCCAUUUUUAAAUCUACUCGUUUCAGCAUAAGUAACAAUUUCAGGAGAUUAUUCAAAGUUUCACAUGCGAAUAGUGAUAAUAUUGUUAUAAAAAAAUUGUUAAAAUGAGCACAAUGUAGAUGUUUAAUUGCAAAAGAAAAUAGUUUCCAAGGGUAAAAUUGAUUAACUUGAUUAACUUAUCAAAAUCAAAUCUUAAUCAAAUCACUUGUCCUUCUGUGAGAGAGUAAACAGUCAUAAAAAUCAGCUGAAGUAACAACCGAAACGAGUUGAAAGUUAAAAAUGGUUAAACAUGUACCUGACUUGGAAUCAAACAAAUGGUCAAGUUAAUGUCCAAUAACUGUCAACCUAAUGAGCUACAAUAAUCAAGCCUAACUAGUCGAUGGUAACCAGAAGAGAUUGAAAACAAAAGGAUUUGUGAUUGGACAAGGGUUCGAUUUCGGCUGCCAAAUGAGGUGACUUAAUGAGCCUUACCAUGAAGAUGACUCUGCAAAGUGAAAGACACACAAAAAAGGUUAAAAUAAUGCUAAAGGGCACAAAAGUAGUAGCAAGAAUUGGGUUGUUGUUUUGACUUCUGUUGAUUGUCUUACCUGAUGAUGGUUACUGUGAAUAUUGUGUGUGUACAAAAAAAAUCUUUUUUCUUCUUCUCUUCCUUCAUCAUCAUAACCAUGAUUAGCUGUGUAGAUGUUUGUGUGUAUAUUUGUGAGGCUCACACAAUGAUAAACUUCAAAUUGUAAUCACACUAAUGACAAUCAGGGAACGUUUAAAGAUGAUUUAAAGAUGCUUCCAUUAAAUGUUACUGUAAAUGCAAA
Molecule: non-coding RNA, 2547 nt
Organism: Tetranychus urticae (two-spotted spider mite)
Lineage: Eukaryota; Metazoa; Arthropoda; Arachnida; Trombidiformes; Tetranychidae
Source: RefSeq, a predicted model, not a curated record